Molecule: ribosomal RNA, 987 nt
Filed under: uncultured bacterium
Lineage: Bacteria
Description: bacterial SSU rRNA
Rfam family: Bacterial small subunit ribosomal RNA
Source: RNAcentral
GUGGCAGCCGCCGCGGUAAUACGGAGGAUGCGAGCGUUAUCCGGAUUUAUUGGGUUUAAAGGGUGCGUAGGCGGAAUGAUAAGUCAGCGGUGAAACUCACGGGCUCAACCUGUGCCGUGCCGUUGAAACUGUCGUUCUUGAAUGCGGAUGCUGUGGGAGGAAUGUGUAGUGUAGCGGUGAAAUGCAUAGAUAUUACACAGAACACCGAUUGCGAAGGCAUCUCACAAAGCCGUUAUUGACGCUGAGGCACGAAAGUGUGGGGAUCAAACAGGAUUAGAUACCCUGGUAGUCCACUACUGUAAACGAUGAUAACUCGCUGCCGGCGAUACAUGGUCGGUGGUCAAGCGAAAGCGAUAAGUUAUCCACCUGGGGAGUACGACCGCAAGGUUGAAACUCAAAGGAAUUGACGGGGGCCCGCACAAGCGGAGGAACAUGUGGUUUAAUUCGAUGAUACGCGAGGAACCUUACCCCGGGGCUCGAACGGCAGAUGGACUAUGCAGAGACGCAUAGGCUCUUCGGAGCGUCUGUCGAGGUGCUGCAUGGUUGUCGUCAGCUCGUGCCGUGAGGUGUCGGCUUAAGUGCCAUAACGAGCGCAACCCUUGUCGAUAGUUGCCAUCGGGUCGUGCCGGGGACUCUAUCGAGACUGCCUCCGUAAGGUGUGAGGAAGGGGGGGAUGACGUCAAAUCAGCACGGCCCUUACGUCCGGGGCGACACACGUGUUACAAUGGUGGCUACAGAGGGCUGCUCCCUGGUGACAGGUUGCCAAUCUCCAAAAGCCGUCUCAGUUCGGAUCGGAGUCUGCAACUCGACUCCGUGAAGUUGGAUUCGCUAGUAAUCGCACAUCAGCCACGGUGCGGUGAAUACGUUCCCGGGCCUUGUACACACCGCCCGUCAAGCCAUGGAAGUUGGGGGUGCCUGAAGUCCGUCACCGCAAGGAACGGCCUAGGGCAAACCUGAUAACUGGGGCUAAGUCGUAACAAGGUAGCC